CAAAAAAAAUUGGUGGGAAAUUGUCCUUUUCCCUUUUUUUAACUGACAUUUUUCAAUCAAAAUCCCUAACCUACAAAACCUCCAGAGCUCGGCCAACUCUCAAGAACUCGUAUUCAAAUCAUUAGUACAUCGAACUGUUUGUCUUCAUUAUAGCAUUGACGAAGGUCGACGGAAACUUGUCUUCUCUCUGGCGUCUCCCCUACCCUUUGUUCAUCUUUGACUCUUUUAUGAUUUUCAAUUUUUCAAUUUAUGCUGAAGUUAUUUCGUUGUUGUCAAUAGAAGUUACUUUGCUUGAGUGGCAUUGCUUCUUCUCCCCUGGAUUGAAAAAUAAGUAUAAUGAAAAAAACUGGAGUGUUUACAUGUUAAACUUCCUCAGAUUAGUUGAUAAAAACCCAUUGGUUUUUUUUUUUUUUUCACUGGACUGGUUUUGCUUCUCCUGUUGUAGUUCCAUUUUCUGUUUUUGCUUGGAAGGGAAUGGUUUGUGGCUUCUGGGUUGGCUUCUCCCGGCCUUCAGUUUUUCAGUGCCUAUAAUCUUUUUUUUUUUUUUUCCCUUUUUAGUGUGUUUGUUUUUGUAAGUUACCUUUCUCUGUAUUUUCUUUGGCUUAGUGUUCCAUUUAUUGUUGCUUAUUUGAUGGAUAAGAUAUUGCGGGAGAAUUUUGUCUAUAGCCUUUUGUUUUUUUCUUUAUUCCCAUUUUUAUUAACGACACUAUCUUUGAUUUGAAUCCUAUGUGAUCCUAAAGUUUAAUUAUACGCGACUGUCUUGACUUGGGUAAUGUCAUUUCAUUAGUUGUUACUUGCGUUGAUCGCUCAAUAUUCAUUAAUAUUACUACUUAGAUUAAUUUAGUUAAUUAUUUAAUGCUUAAUUUGUACAUAUAUAUGAACUUCAAGUGAUUUGUGAUACAUAAUCACAUUUAAUGUUUGUUCAUAUAAUUAAGUUUUAUCUUUAGUUUGAUUGCAUGACAUAUGAAUAUAUUGUCUGUCUCUGUGUGUAAAUCUAUAAUAUAAAUGUUAUGUGAUAUGAAUUUUACUAAUUAUGAUAAGAUCUUUUCUCCUUUGUUUCUAUUUAUUGAUGGAAUUUAACUUCCUUCUAUUUAUUUCCUUUGUCAUCUUCUAUAUUUUAAUAUUGACAAGGUAUUCUCUUGUUUUACUAUAAACUGUUCAUCAGAACUCUUAGAUGUGGCGGUUGCUCUGUGCACAAUGCUCUUGUGUUGGCCAUUGCUCAUUACUUCUAUUUGAUCUCCCAACUAAACUAUUAAAACUCCUUCAAUUGCUGGAACAGAUAGCCAGUUCUUGUUGUGGUCCAUGAGUUGUAGCCCUGGACUGCUUUGCAGUAAGAUGGUUAGUGAACCAUAGUCUCUGAAUGUGAUGGCAAACCUAAUGCAAGAUCAGGUUCAGGACAUACUGGAUAGCAAGUUACUGUCAUGACUUGCAGGCCUUCUUCAAUGUCCUCUUGGAGAACGAUAUUUAAAAGCUAGACAACAUGAAAGCAUUUUGGCAAACUUUUUAUUGCAUAGGGGUUGACACCGGAAAAGCUGGGAAAGGCUAGUUUGGCUCGAGAGAGGCCUUUUGGUACAACAAAAGCUUGAAUUCUGUACAUUGAACACCGUGCAAAUCCAAGGGCAGUAACCAUAUUUAUCCGAGGUAACAAAAUGAUUAUUGAGGAAACAAAGUGCAGCCUGUAUGACGUGCUGUGUGUGGCUAGAAAUCUAAUUCGUGACAAUUCCAUUGUUUAUGGUGGUGGUUCAGCUGAGAUAUCUUGCUCAAUUGCCGUAGAGGCUGCUGCAGAUAAAUGCCCAUGAGUUAAGCAAGUAACUUCCCUUGAUCUCGUGAGUUUGAUGAAGAAGCUUGCUAACUUAGCUGCACCUCGAGCAUUUUAUUUUGAGUAGCCAAUUGCUCCAUUCUUUCAAUGAGGUGCUUAAUGGCUUCUUCUUGAACUUGUGUCUUCUAAUUUUGAGCUUUAUAUAACUUUCCAUCAUCAACUCUAAACUUGAUUUCUACUCUCUUGGCAUAAGGUGAACGGUUCUUGUUGUGGUGCACUAUUCUAGAAUCCAGGUGGUGACAGUCUGAAAUUCUGGCUCGUAUUAGUAGGAACUGGUUUGCUAUUCCAUGAGAAGUUCAGAUGAUUCCUCUAUCUUGGAUUGUAAGUAUUUGAACAUAGGUUGCCUUGACUUCUCUAGUUGAAAUUUAUUGCGUUUGCUUGUUUCGUACUUUGUUCACCAGGGUAUGUGUUUAUAGUGUUGCAAUCUAUACUAACAUGUCCUCCUCUGCAUAUUUCACAUCGUCUGGUCACACCCACUGCUUUCAUAUCCAACCUUUCCAUUUUCUUUGUCAAGGUAUCAAGCUUCGCAUUCACCAUGGUCAUUCCGUCUACUUUAUAUACCUUUGAUGGUUAUUUUGGCACAAUAUCAUCUAUCCAACAUGAACUAAUUGCGGUCAUCCGUUCAAUUAGUUGGAAUGCAUUCUCAAUUGUGAGCCAUAUAAAUGAUCUGCUAGCAAUUGCAUCAAGUGUGGUCUUAAUGUGUCUGGGUACUCAACUUUAGAAUGUUUGUAUUAGCAAGCAACCUGGGAGAUCGUGAUGUAGGCAAUGCCUUUGUAGAUCCUUGUACCUUUCCCAAGCCUCAUAUAGCAUUCCUCAGGAGAAAAUUAAGAGGGCUGAAAUGAUGUGUGAAGUGGAUAAAAAAUCAUAAGAAGCAAAUCAAAAGUUGCUGCAACAAGCAAAGAAAUUGCUCCCUCACAAGGUCAGUAGAAGCAAUUGCUGCGAGCUUCUUGUUGGUAAGCUAGCUUCUAUGGCUUUUAGAUAUUUAACCUCCUAAUCCUUGGAAGUUUAAAUGAGCUGAAAUGAUGUGUGCAGUACUAACAUUGGUUGCAUAAGUUGUCUUUAUUAUUGAUGUAGUAUUUUUUGACAUUCAACUUACAUACAAGAGUUCUAUUUGAACAUAUUCUGCAUAAUAAGUUUACAAUCAAUUGACCUCUUCUCCUUUAAA
This is a long non-coding RNA of Mangifera indica (mango), 2984 nucleotides long. RefSeq lists it as uncharacterized. Lineage: Eukaryota; Viridiplantae; Streptophyta; Magnoliopsida; Sapindales; Anacardiaceae. The record is from RefSeq and is a predicted model, not a curated record. The transcript is spliced from 7 exons.